CUCCCAGACACAGGUACGUCACAGAAACUGGCCUCAGGAGGAAACAGCCUCUACUACAGUUUCAACGCUGAGGAAUCAGGAAGCUCUUUUCCUCCCUGCUGGCUCCAGAAAUACUCUGCUUCAACUGUCAUUCAGGAAUCACGGAGCUUCACUCAGAAAUACUGAUUCUAGGGCCAUGCCACAUGGGCCAGAUGUCAAUAGCAAAGUGGAUGUCUGGGGUACAUUUUCUCUCACCACUUCACUGAAUUCUGAAUUCAAGUCUUGCACAAGUGCAUGUGACAGGCAGUACCUAAAUCAAGUGUAGGUAUAGGAGUUUGGGAAAUGUUUUACUCUCCGCUGUCUCCGCAAACCAGAGAGGACCACAGAAGGCAGUGGAAACAGAAGUCAGUGUGUCAUAUUGCAGACUCGCAGGGAUUCACGUCACAUGCCCUCCUUCAGAACUCAGCCAGAAAAGAAGGCCCACAUGCCACAUAUGAGAGAGAAGUCCCAAAGAUAAUGGGCACAUAUUUGCAGUCCAAACCUACACAGAAUAAUGUGCAUCUUUGUUUUUAUGUUUUCAUUAAGUCAGUUCAAGGCUCCCCACUUCCUCCUUCAUGAGACUUCAUCUGAGAUCUGAAGACAAAGAAUGAGGUGAAAGGGCCAGGGGCCAGAAAGGAACUGGCUGUUAUGGUGACAUCACAAAUAUCUAGUCCUCAGUCAUCUUCUCUGACAUGACAUCUAAUGUCAAAUGUUGCAUCUCACAGCCACCGUACAUCUGAUGCUGAUAUCACCUGUCCUGCACGCGAGGAAGGCCAGUGUA
Molecule: long non-coding RNA, 799 nt
Organism: Artibeus jamaicensis (Jamaican fruit-eating bat)
Lineage: Eukaryota; Metazoa; Chordata; Mammalia; Chiroptera; Phyllostomidae
Exons: 3
Source: RefSeq, a predicted model, not a curated record